Molecule: long non-coding RNA, 430 nt
Organism: Daphnia pulicaria
Lineage: Eukaryota; Metazoa; Arthropoda; Branchiopoda; Diplostraca; Daphniidae
Exons: 3
Source: RefSeq, a predicted model, not a curated record
CUUUGUUCGAGUUUUACUUGUGUUUUUGGAUAAACUAAAUUCAACGCUAAAUCAAAUAUUGUGUAUGCAAAUAAUGUACUGCACUACCUGACAGCUUUCGACAACGUCGGGUUUUUCAUCACCAACAACUGAUUGAAUGAAAUGUUUCCCGUCUGCCUGAUCUCCCACUAUGAAAAUCACUUUAUUAAUGAGACAUUAGAAAAAGAUACAGGUUAACAAAUAGCCUUUUCUGUGUUGUGUCACUCACUACACUACAGAAGUGAUCACAACCAAGUACGAAAACCAAACAGUAGUAGUCAACCUAUUCUGUAAAUCUAGACUCUGAAUUACAUGCCUUCAGCAGUGUGAAAAACUGUGAAAUUGCUUUCACACUGUGCUGUUUUUGUUUUCCUUGAUCACUAUUGAAAGCAAUGUUGCAUUAAAAGAGGUA